RNAcentral lists this unclassified non-coding RNA (507 nucleotides) under Hevea brasiliensis (rubber tree). Lineage: Eukaryota; Viridiplantae; Streptophyta; Magnoliopsida; Malpighiales; Euphorbiaceae. The record is from RNAcentral.
GCGGACAAAGGUCUAAAAAAGCCCCUCUACACAUCUGCACGGUUGAAGAAGGGAGAAGUUUUAUAUCUAGAAACACAUUCGUGUAGGUAUGAACUCUGCUUUUCCGGAGAGAAGAUGGUGAAAACCAUUGUAUCAUCUCAAGGGCAUGAAACUGAAGCCGAGAAGUCUCAAAAUCACUUUGUACACUGCCCAAAUGGUGAAAGAACCGAUAACGAUAAUGCUUUGAUCGAUGUGUUUCGGUGGUCUCGCUGUAAGAAGCCACUGCCUCAGAAGGUUAUGCGUUCUAUUGGGAUUCCACUGCCUUCGGAACACGUAGAGGUACUCGAGGAUAAUCUGGACUGGGAAGAUGUACAGUGGUCACAGACUGGCGUUUGGAUAGCUGGGAAGGAAUAUCUACUUGCUCGUGUGCAUUUCCUAUCCAUGAAUUAGUUCCAUUUUAAUGUUCAUCUUGUAACUUUUUAGAUGUAUGAGAAUAUGUAUUUCAUAAUCAUAUUUCAGAGUAAGGAG